AAAUGUGGAGCCGUAGCGAAAGCGAGUCUGAAUAGGGCGUUGAGUAUUUGGUCGUAGACCCGAAACCAGGUGAUCUACCCAUGGUCAGGUUGAAGUUCAGGUAACACUGAAUGGAGGACCGAACCGACUUACGUUGAAAAGUGAGCGGAUGAACUGUGGGUAGCGGAGAAAUUCCAAUCGAACUUGGAGAUAGCUGGUUCUCUCCGAAAUAGCUUUAGGGCUAGCCUCAAGUGAUGAUUAUUGGAGGUAGAGCACUGUUUGGACGAGGGGCCCC
Molecule: ribosomal RNA, 274 nt
Filed under: Staphylococcus aureus
Lineage: Bacteria; Bacillati; Bacillota; Bacilli; Caryophanales; Staphylococcaceae
Description: partial 23S ribosomal RNA
Rfam family: Bacterial large subunit ribosomal RNA
Source: RNAcentral